CUCUCCAGAUCACCCUUCAUGUGCUUCAAACCUUCCAAAUCCUUGGUCGGCGACCAAGCCUCCACCGCGCCGAAGCUCAUCACCGACGGCGGCGGAGCUCCAAACACCAAAAUCCAUCGCCAAACUAAUUGUCACCACCUCACGGUCCUAAAUCCAAUGUCCAAAUGAAUUCAACCUAAACCUACUCAUCGGAUCGAGCUCAAAGGUGCAAGAACCCUAAAACGAUUUUCCAGAAAUUAAAUGCUUCAUGAUGAAGAUUAAAGGUUACCAGGUUAGGGCUUGGAUCUCCCAAACCUCAUACUAUGCUAUGGUAACUACAUCGGAGCGGAACCAGAAAGUUGAACAGAAUACCUGUCGGACACGAUGUCGAAGACGACGAUGAUAUAAACGAUGACCUCAGGAUGAAUGGAACAUGACCAACCAAGACACAUAACCGAUGCCCAAAGGGAAAGGCCAUUAACUUCAUUGAGGAAUAUGCAGAGCUUUUAUGCACACCAUGGAUUUCAAUAGGAUUACUUGAGAUUUGCAGAGCUUUCAUUGGUUUGCUUGACUUGUCAUGGUGAAGAGUUGUCACUGACCAUUGGGAUUAUUUUGAACUGUUUACUCAGUAUUGAUGCAGGACACUUGCUGCACUAGUUUUUGGUUGCUGCACUGAUGUUGCCCAUGCCAUUCACUUUGAGAUGCCUUAUUGCAUUGUAGAUGAACUGAAACAAGAGAACCCCAUGGUUUUAUGCUUGAGGCUUAGACAUGGUUGCCAUUAGUCAAAUGUAGAUUGAGUAUUAAGGCAAGGUCUUGGCUUUUUUUGGCAUGAUGAUGGUGUUCUUGUGGAUGCAGCAGGAUCAUAGCAGGUCAAUAUGCCUUGCAAGGAUUGUUGAUGCACAAUUAUUUGAUGGUGGUCUGAUGUGAAUUACUGACCUGUGUGCUUGCUCCAGCCUGUUGCUCAUGGCUCUUGUUUCCUACUGACUUGUAGUAUGAUUUUGUUUGAUGUGCAACCUUGGUUUGCUAGGUUUUCUACUUGAUGAACCCUGUGCAAGCCUUGGUUUGUUAGGUCACAUUAUGUGUAGGUAUGAAGGGCAAUGCUUUAUGGGACCAAGGCAUGUUGGUUUUAACUUAGUGAUUUUGCAGAAUGUGAUCCUUGGCUUCAUGUGGUUUAGUAGGAUCAUAGCAGGUUAUGGCUUCAUGGAGAAUGAUGGUUGAACCAACAUGGUUAAGCAAAGGCUUGGAGUAUGGCAUUAAAAUGGGAUCUUAAAGUUACAUGUACAAAAGCCAAACCAGAGAUCAAAAUAGGAUUUGAAACUUAGGAUUAUGAUCAGAGAUUGGGGAUUUAGUGUUUUCGGGAUGGGGUUUGUUCGAAGUUGACCAAAAAGUCAACUAUUGACCAAAGUCAACCUUGGUCAACACUUCAAAUUUUGUGUACAUUUUGUUCUUCUCUCUUC
Lathyrus oleraceus (garden pea) is the source of this 1436-nucleotide long non-coding RNA. RefSeq lists it as uncharacterized. The record is from RefSeq and is a predicted model, not a curated record. The transcript is spliced from 5 exons. Lineage: Eukaryota; Viridiplantae; Streptophyta; Magnoliopsida; Fabales; Fabaceae.